GUCCAGCUGAGCUCAUAAAGGUCUUUGGGGUGGGGCUAGGGGGUGGAGUUCUAAAGCCUGCACAAGCCAGGAAAGAGCCUCCUGGGUAAGGCAAGGCUCAUGAAAUUCUCUGAGUGGGUCAAAUGGGGACUGGAAAAAUUCCACCCACUAGCUCAGCUAAUGGGUAAAAAUGCUGGACAUUUAUCUGGAGCUGCAGGGGGUAAAGUGUCAUCCUUGGGAAAUUCAAAGCUGGCCUGUACCUGCUGAGAGCACCAGGGAUAUGGUCACAUUGCAAGCCUGUUGCCAGCACCCCAGGCAGAGUCAUCAACAAUUACUUUGGAGGAGGGCCACUUCCACCUUCCAGGGCAUAGGUGACCCCUGUGGAAAACAAGUACCCCUGGAACAUCCUAGAAGUGGAGGUUCUUGAGUGGCAGGCUUUCAGAUCAUCUGGUACUCCUUCCAGAGCUCCUGACCAGAGAUGGGGCAUUUGUGAACACAAGAUACAGCCAAGCAACCUGUCCCGCUGUUGUUAUUACAGUGAGUUAUAUUCUUGCCCACCUAGGCCACUGGAAUGAGAAUGCAGUAAAACAGCUUGCCUCAGAGUGGUCUUCCCUGGAACACACAGCUUCUGUUAAGCAUUCAUGAUUCUGACGGGCCAGUCAUCCCUUCAUUGACUUUGUCCAGCAGCUCCACCAUUACAGUCUCAUUUUAGAAAAUAAAGACACUUGGAAACAAAUUGAAAGGGCGUUUUCCUGCACCAACCCCAUUUGACUUGCCUCAGCAUGCUGAAUGGAGGGCUGCACUCCCCCCAUGACUGCCUGGACCCAUCACUCUAGGGUCCAUGUGGGUUGCAUGGCAGUCCUCCACUUUUUGGCCAUUGGAUCCUCAUUUUCUAUUAAUUCCUUAAGGGAUGGCCGCUCAUAGCUGGUUCUGGGUCAGUUUUGGAGAAUGCUUUUAAAUAUUUAAAAAUGUUGUCAUGACUGGAGAACUUGAGGUCUUUGUUGGCAUGGUUCUUGGAAG
RNAcentral lists this long non-coding RNA (999 nucleotides) under Homo sapiens (human). Its description in RNAcentral is "HSALNT0383101". Lineage: Eukaryota; Metazoa; Chordata; Mammalia; Primates; Hominidae. The record is from RNAcentral.